This 494-nucleotide ribosomal RNA is filed under the name uncultured bacterium. RNAcentral's name for it is "partial 16S ribosomal RNA". It matches the Rfam family "Bacterial small subunit ribosomal RNA", at positions 28 to 507 of the family's 1533-position model. The record is from RNAcentral.
GACGAACGCUGGCGGCGUGCUUAACACAUGCAAGUCGAACGGUGAAGCGCCUUCCUUUUUGGUGGGUGUGGAUGAGUGGCGAACGGGUGAGUAACACGUGAGUAACCUGCCCCCUUCUUCUGGAUAACCGCAUGAAAGUGUGGCUAAUACGGGAUAUUCUGGGUCUGUCGCAUGAUGGGUCUGGGAAAGAUAUUGUUUCGGUGGGGGAUGGGCUCGCGGCCUAUCAGCUUGUUGGUGGGGUGAUGGCCUACCAAGGCGGUGACGGGUAGCCGGCCUGGGAGGGUGGACGGUCACACUGGGACUGGGACACGGCCCAGACUCCUACGGGAGGCAGCAGUGGGGAAUAUUGCACAAUGGGCGCAAGCCUGAUGCAGCGACGCCGCGUGAGGGAUGGAGGCCUUCGGGUUGUGAACCUCUUUCGCCAGUGAAGCAGGCCUGCCUCGUUUGUGGGUGGGUUGACGGUAGCUGGAUAAGAAGCGCCGGCUAACUACGUG